This 453-nucleotide ribosomal RNA is filed under the name Neogloboquadrina pachyderma. RNAcentral's name for it is "bacterial SSU rRNA". It matches the Rfam family "Eukaryotic small subunit ribosomal RNA", at positions 1174 to 1429 of the family's 1831-position model. The record is from RNAcentral. Lineage: Eukaryota; Foraminifera; Rotaliida; Globorotaliidae.
GCAUGGAGCAUGUGGCUUAAUUUGACUCAACGCGGGAAAUCUUACCGGGUCCGGACACACUGAGGAUUGACAGGCAAUAUCUCAUGUUAACGGUAAGUUUACUUACCGCUUAACAUCAGUGUUAAAUAUGCUAGUCCUUUCAUGAUUAUGUGAUAGGUGGUGCAUGGCCGUUCUUAGUUCGUGGAGUGAUCUGUCUGCUUAAUUGCGUUUCACUAAGGGCCCAUAAAUUCAAGGUAGUUAGCUCUCGUCGCUCUAUGGACCCCUUAACUCCAAUAUUCUUAUUGUGUUAAGCGCGUGUCUUUAUUUUAAGAGUUUUAAGACACUGCGCAUGCUGUUGGGCUCUGAAAGCAACGAACGUGACCGCAACGUCUUGUUGCCUUAAACUAGCGUAUAUUGCAAUUUAUUGCAAUAUCGCUUACAGAGGCUAUUUAAAACUAGACGGACCGCUGUUUC